This 44-nucleotide ribosomal RNA is filed under the name Hoya australis. Its description in RNAcentral is "partial 18S ribosomal RNA". Lineage: Eukaryota; Viridiplantae; Streptophyta; Magnoliopsida; Gentianales; Apocynaceae. The record is from RNAcentral.
ACAAGGUUUCCGUAGGUGAACCUGCGGAAGGAUCAUUGUCGAAU